Molecule: ribosomal RNA, 478 nt
Filed under: uncultured bacterium
Lineage: Bacteria
Description: partial 16S ribosomal RNA
Rfam family: Bacterial small subunit ribosomal RNA
Source: RNAcentral
GACGAACGCUGGCGGCGUGCUUAACACAUGCAAGUCGAACGGUAAGGCCCUUCGGGGUACACGAGUGGCGAACGGGUGAGUAACACGUGGGGGAUCUGCCCUGCACUUCGGGAUAAGCCUGGGAAACUGGGUCUAAUACCGGCUAUGACUCCUGCCUACAUGGGCGGGGGUGGAAAGCUUUUGCGGUGUGGGAUGGGCCCGCGGGCUAUCGGCUUGUGGGGGGGGUGAUGGCCUACCAAGGCGACGACGGGUAGCCGGCCUGAGAGGGUGACCGGCCACACUGGGACUGAGAUACGGCCCAGACUCCUACGGGAGACAGCAGUGGGGAAUAUUGCACAAUGGGCGCAAGCCUGAUGCAGCGACGCCGCGUGAGGGAUGACGGCCUUCGGGUUGUAAACCUCUUUCAGCACAGACGAAGCGCAAGUGACGGUAUGUGCAGAAGAAGGACCGGCCAACUACGUGCCAGUAGCCGCCGUAA